GACGAACGCUGGCGGCGUGCUUAACACAUGCAAGUCGAACGGAAAGGCCUGCUUUUGUGGGGUUCUCGGGUGGCGAACGGGGGAGGAACACGUGAGGAACCUGCCCUUGACUUUGGGGUAACUUCAGGAAAAUGGGGCUAAUACCGGAUAGGAGGUCCUGCUGCAUGGGGGGGGGUGGGAAGUUUCGGCGGUUGGGGAUGGGCUCGCGGCUUAUCAGCUUGGUGGUGGGGUAGUGGCUUACCAAGGCUUUGACGGGUAGCCGGCCUGAGAGGGUGACCGGCCACAUUGGGACUGAGAUACGGCCCAGACUCCUACGGGAGGCAGCAGUGGGGAAUAUUGCACAAUGGGCGGAAGCCUGAUGCAGCAACGCCGCGUGCGGGAUGACGGCCUUCGGGUUGUAAACCGCUUUCGCCUGUGACGAAGCGUGAGUGACGGUAAUGGGUAAAGAAGCACCGGCUAACUACGUG
Molecule: ribosomal RNA, 467 nt
Filed under: uncultured bacterium
Lineage: Bacteria
Description: partial 16S ribosomal RNA
Rfam family: Bacterial small subunit ribosomal RNA
Source: RNAcentral